GGAUGCGAUCAUACCAGCACUGAAGCACCGGAUCCCAUCAGAACUCCGAAGUUAAGCGUGCUUGGGUGAGAGUAAUACUAGGAUGGGUGACCUCCUGGGAAGUCCUCGUGUUGCAUUCC
RNAcentral lists this ribosomal RNA (119 nucleotides) under Triticum aestivum (bread wheat). Lineage: Eukaryota; Viridiplantae; Streptophyta; Magnoliopsida; Poales; Poaceae. The record is from RNAcentral.